CGCAAGCAAAGAAAAAGUUGCUCUUCACUUUCCUCUGACCAUUGUGCACAACGCGACGGCAUCAGGGGUCCCACCAAGCUGAACACUCACUUUCCCCUUUCUCCAGUCUUGUGUUCUUGUCUUCUCGGGAGCUCCCAUGAGGGAAGCCGGUCCAGCUUCGAUCCACCGCGUGUGAGGACUGAUCUGAUGCCCCCCUCAUUUCCUUCUUGAUCGUCCUCACCUGCACGCACCCCACGUCAAGGGUAAGUGGUACGGCCACGCUGUGGCUUUCUACAACAGCUGGUUUGGAUCCCCCCGUGCCUCGUGGUCGUGGAUCUCUCGGGCCAGUGAACGGCGACGGAGGGGUUGCAGGUCCCGAAUAGCCGUUGCGCGAGGGAGGAGGCGAGCUCGUCGAAGUCGAUUGCCGUUGCAGUCGGCCUCCAUGGAGGCGAUGAGGGUGUCGAUCUCGUCCCCCGCAGCUAGCUUGGAUCCUGCGCGAGUGUGAGGUUUCCUGGAGGCGUUGUCAUCCAGAAGCGCCGAACCGGACGCGUCGUUGUUGUCCCAAAGCGAGACAGCUUAUCACGCUGUCUUCAUUCUUGAUAGCUGCAGCCCGGCUCUGGCGUUGCAUUCUUCCACCUGCAGAUUGACUUCUGGUCCAUCAACUACAUAAUCAUUGUAAGUUAUACAUGCCAAACAUAACUACGGGCAUAAUGUUAAUUUGUUUAUGUCCCUCCACUUUUUUUCCUGGCUUGUGACCGGCAUCGGCACGGAAGUGUUAGCCCCCCUACCCCCAUUAAUAUUCAGCAUACUUAAGAAAUACUCCGUCCGUUCCUAAAUAUAAGUCUUUGUAGAGAUUCCACUAUGAACCACAUGCGGAUGUAUAUAGAUGUAUUUAGAGUGUAGAUUCACUCAUUUUGCUCCUUAUCUAAUCCAUAGUGGAAUCUCUACAAAGACUUAUUUAGGAACGGAGGAAGUAGUUGUUUUAUUUGGGCUUCACUAUAGUUUUAAUAAUUCCCAAAGAUAAACUGAGAUUUAUAAUAACUGAAUAGGAAAAUUGAUCUGGUUACAUUAUACAUAUAAAACAUAAUGAUGCAUGGGCACUCACUAUUGGCCUGUACUGUAUAAUAAGAUUCAAAUAUCAGGUAUCACAUAAUAUAGAUUGUUGAUACUAAUUGAUAUAUUGAGCUAUUUCCAUCAAAUGUUGAUGCAUGUUUCCAAUGCUUUGAACAAACAAAUGAAACUAUCAGAAAAUGUAUUUCAUAUUUUACAUCCUACAAAGUAGGAAACUGGGAACAUAAUGAGAAGAAAAGAAUGAAUAUAGGAAGAAGCGGAAAUUAUGUUGAUACAUGCACUUAAAUGAGUCUUCCUUCUGGUUAUUUUCUUGCUUCAUUGGCAUUGCGACCGGAUGAUUAGGACUAUGCCCAAUCGUAAUGCUUGAAAAUACUGGGCUGAGUAAUCAUAUCCUUGUGAUAGCCGCUUAAGACAUCCUCAAGACGCGGCAACUUCUUUAAGCGACCGUUUGUUUACAUCAAUUUGUGAAAUAAACCUAUGAUGGUUGCCUUUCAAAUUGGGUAAUUUGAACAAUGUUAUACCAACCAGUAGUCGAAUUCCUAGUUGUGCUAAUGCGCUAACCAAGAAAAGUUAGAUUAUGUAGUGUCAAGAAAAUCAUAUGAAGCAGCAACUAUUAGGCAGUUAAUUGGUCUCACCAUUUGACACUAAAUAUCCUGCAGAGUCUGGAUGUUGCCGGGAUUAAUUGACUUGCUGCCCAGGAGCGCUGAACUUAGCUUCAUCCUACUUCUUGUAGGACAUUGUAGUAAACAGAUUACUUUAAUCACCUGAGACAUGCAGUGGCAUAUGUUAUGGUUAAGAUUGAAUAUCGCAAUCCAUGGCAGGGCAAGGAUCGAAGGUACGGCGCACCUGCUGCUGGUACUCGUUUGUCCAGUCUGGAGAAUACAUCCUCAUGUAGGAGACACAAUGGGGUGCUCUCCGAGCAGGAAUGACCGAGGCAAGCCACUGGCACCGGGUUGCUGACUCCUGCUGCUCUCAUUCUAGUUCGAGCUACAGAUCAUGAAUCAUGAGGAAGCAAUAUACAUGUCAAGUUGUUAACUUCUCAGAGCAUGUAUAUUAGUAUGGACUGCACUAUAGACAUAUCCUACAAUAGGUUGUCUUUUCGGUUCUCUGCAUAGACUUUUGAUUGGAUGAAACAUUAAGUAUCUAUUGAUUGGCACUAAUUAUUCUGUGUUCUC
Molecule: long non-coding RNA, 2225 nt
Organism: Triticum aestivum (bread wheat)
Lineage: Eukaryota; Viridiplantae; Streptophyta; Magnoliopsida; Poales; Poaceae
Exons: 2
Source: RefSeq, a predicted model, not a curated record